GAAAGUAAGAAAGGGCGUAUGGCGGAUGCCUAGGCUCACGGAGGCGAUGAAGGACGUGAUAAGCUGCGAUAAGCUUCGGGUAGGUGCAAAUAACCUUUGAUCCGAAGAUUUCCGAAUGGGACAACCUAGCCGUCUGAAGGACGGUUACUCUUACCAAUGUAAGAGAGCUAACGCAGGGAACUGAAACAUCUUAGUACCUGUAGGAAGAGAAAAUAAAUGAAUGAUUCCCCCAGUAGUGGCGAGCGAACGGGGAACAGCCCAAACCGUUGACGUCGCAAGGCGCCAGCGGGGUUGUAGGACCGCGACAUUGUAUGCAAAUCGUGAACAGAACACUUUGGAAAAUGUGACCAUAGACGGUGAUAGUCCAGUAUGUGAAGCGAAAUGCAGCAUAGCGGUAUCCUGAGUAACGCGGGACACGAGGAAUCCUGCGCGAAUCUGCCGGGACCAUCCGGUAAGGCUAAAUACUCCCGUGAGACCGAUAGCGAACGAGUACUGUGAAGGAAAGGUGAAAAGAACCCCGAGCAGGGGAGUGAAAUAGUUCCUGAAACCAUACGCCUACAAGCGGUCGGAGCAUCUUACGAUGUGACGGCGUGCCUUUUGCAUAAUGAUCCUACGAGUUACCGUCACUGGCGAGGUUGAGUGUCAUGAGACACGUAGCCGCAGUGAAAGCGAGCCUGAACAGGGCGCAUAGUCAGUGGGGGUAGACGCGAAACCAAGUGAUCUACACUUGGCCAGGAUGAAGUCCCGGUAACACGGGAUGGAGGUCCGCACCAAUAAGCGUUGAAAAGCUUCUGGAUGAGCCGAGUGUAGGAGUGAAAGGCCAAUCAAACUUGGAGAUAGCUCGUACUCCCCGAAAGGCAUUUAGGUGCCGCGUCGGAUGGUCACCGUGAGAGGUAGAGCGACCGAUAGGACAAGAGGGCUUCACCGCCUAUCGAGUCCUGACGAACUCCGAAUGCUCACGGUCUGCAGUCCGGCAGUAAGGGGGCGGGUGCUAAGGUCCGUCCCCGAGAGGAGAAGAAUCCAGACCGCCGUCUAAGGUCCCGGAGUUCUGCCUGAGUUAGUCUAACGAAGUCUGGUCCCUAUGACAGCUAGGAUGUUGGCUUGGAAGCAGCCAUUCAUUCAAAGAGUGCGUAACAGCUCACUAGUCGAGGGUCCGGGCAUGGAUAAUAAUCGGGUAUAAGGCAGACACCGAAGGCGCGGGAUAGCAUUUAAGAAAGUAUCGGUAGGGGAGCAUACUCACAGCGUGGAAUGGUGUACGUAAGUUAUCCUGGAGCGGUGAGUAAAGCAAAUGUAGGAAUAAGUAACGAUAAGGAGGGUUAGAUUCCCUCCCGCUGUAAGACCAAGGUUUCCCGGGCAAUGCCAAUCAGCCCGGGGUCAGUCGGGUCCUAAGUCUAAGCCGAACGGCGAUGGCGAUGGCAGAGACGGUUAAUAUUCCGUCACUGCCGCAUGGGGCGACGUGGAGACGGAGCAGUGAAACCACCGCGGGGCGACGGAAGUCCCCGUUGAAGAGUGUAGGUGUUGAGGAUGGCAGGCAAAUCCACCGUCCGAGCUGAACUUGAUAGUAUGGAGUCUUCUUCGGAAGAAUCCAAUAGUGUGGGUAAUCAUACUCCCGAGAAAAUCCGCUAAGCUUAACCCAUGCGGCACCCGUACCGCAAACGGACACACGUGGUCGGGUAGAACAUACUAAGGCGUUGAGAGAUUCAUGGUUAAGGAACUAGGCAAAUUGACCCUGUAACUUCGGGAUAAAGGGUCCUCGUGAUGAGCGAGGCGCAGAGAAUAGGUCCAGGCAACUGUUUAACAAAAACACAGGGCUGUGCAAAAUUUGAAGAUGAAGUAUACAGCCUGACACCUGCCCGGUGCCGGAAGGUUAAGAGGAGAGCUAAUCGCAAGAGAAGGCUUGAAUUGAAGCCCCGGUAAACGGCGGCCGUAACUAUAACGGUCCUAAGGUAGCGAAAUUCCUUGUCGGGU
Molecule: ribosomal RNA, 1968 nt
Filed under: human metagenome
Description: bacterial LSU rRNA
Rfam family: Bacterial large subunit ribosomal RNA
Source: RNAcentral